GACGAACGCUGGCGGCGUGCUUAACACAUGCAAGUCGAACGGAAAGGCCCUGCUUUUGUGGGGUGCUCGAGUGGCGAACGGGUGCGUAACACGGGAGUAACCUGCCCUUGACUUUGGGAUAACUUCAGGAAACUGGGGCUAAUACCGGAUUGGAGCACCUGCUGCAUGGUGGGGGUUGGAAAGUUUCGGCGGUUGGGGAUGGACUUGCGGCUGAUCCGUCUGAUGGUGGUGUAGUGGCUUACCAAGGCUUUGACGGGUAGCCGGCCUGAGAGGGUGACCGGCCACAUUGGGACUGAGAUACGGGCCAGAGUCCUACGGGAGGCAGCAGUAGGGAAGAUUGCACGAUGGGCGGAAGCCUGAUGCAGCAACGCCGCGUGCGGGAUGACGGCCUGCGGGUUGAAAACCGCUUUGGGCGGUGACGGAGCGUGAGUGAAGGUAAUGGAUAAAGAAGCACCGGCUAACUACGUG
Molecule: ribosomal RNA, 468 nt
Filed under: uncultured bacterium
Lineage: Bacteria
Description: partial 16S ribosomal RNA
Rfam family: Bacterial small subunit ribosomal RNA
Source: RNAcentral